Alligator sinensis (Chinese alligator) is the source of this 2923-nucleotide long non-coding RNA. RefSeq lists it as uncharacterized. The transcript has 3 exons. Lineage: Eukaryota; Metazoa; Chordata; Crocodylia; Alligatoridae. The record is from RefSeq and is a predicted model, not a curated record.
GGAUUUUUAUUCUUUUUUUAUCGAGACUUUUGCUCAAGUCCUGGCCUCAACAAUAACUUAUGGCAGUGAAUUCCACAGCGUAGUGAGACACUGUGAAAAAGUAUUUGGGGAAUUUUCCAUCUUUCAGUUUAAUUUUACACACCCUCAUCGUGUGUUGUCAGUCAGGGAGAGGAGAAGCUCCAUGCUCCUCUGCAAGCACUUUCUAAGGCAAACAAUUCCAGUCUUUUCAGCCCGUCUCCAUAAGACAGUUUAUCUGCCUUCUUAUCUUUCUUGUCGCCAUUCUGAUACAGUGAAAGGAGCAAGGAGACAUUUUUUUCUCUCUCUUGGCAUCAACAUGUCCUCCACAAAAACUAAAAUACAUGGGAAGAAUUUCUGAAAGGAAGACAAUACACUCUGCCACUCACCCCGUGGCCAGCCAUCUGGACCACAACCAGACUGUGAAUAUGUCUCAUAUCUUCAUGCACAUUUGAAGGAGUAAUACCACCACUUCAUAUUCCGAUUGUGCCUGUCAUCCUAAGAACAUUAGGAACUGGACAACAGUCUGCCCAGUCCUUAUGCAGGUAUGUACAUGUGGAAUGGAAAGGGGCCAUUCUCUUCUUGAAUUGCUCAUAUCAGGGCCAAAUGGAGCUGCAGCACCUGGGCUUCUCUUUUCCUGUUCCUACCAUGGCAGAUAAUGCCCUGCCUCAUCUUGAUAAUCUUGGAGUGGGACUGUGCAGUGGGGGAGUAAACAGUAGGACAUGGUAUAAAGGGAUAUAAUACCAAAUGUGUUGCUCCUCCCUGUUGUGUUGGUCUGCCUCCUGCCAUGCUCCUUUUGAUGGGGCAGCUCUACAUCAUUCCUUAUAAUGGGUGUCCCUCAGUGACAUGAUUUAGCCUAAAGCAGGUAAGGGCACCAAGUGCAUAAAGCCCAUAAGUACAUACUUAACUUUGAGGACACGCUGAAAUCUCAUUGAUCUUAAGACCUUACCUCCAUUGAAACCUAUGCUUGGGUCCUCUGAGGCGUCACCUUGUUUUAAUGAUGAUAAAGCAGACACUGAGAGGUUAAGUGACUUUCACAAGGUCCCAGAGAAAGUUUGCAACUGCAUCAGAAUUAGAACUCUACUGUCUUGAUUCACUAACAGACAGAUUGCGACUCCUCUCCUAUAUCCCCAACAAUACUUCAGAACAGGAACAUGAAGUAAUAAAUUAAACAUCUGGUACACUGGGUACCAAAUUUGGCAAAUAUAUUGUCAUUCCAAGCAGAUUAGACCACUAUAACAGGCACGUCCCAUUAUAUGUUAAAUAUAACAGGUUUGACUAAACAGAAGUUGAGCCUGUUGUUAUCCAGAAGCACCACCAUUAAAGCCUCCACUUUUGCCAACUCCACUAGUUGGCCUUUAAUUAACACUUGCACGCUCAGAAUUUUACAGUUAGCAAUAUCUUCCUUAUUACCUGAAGACAAUUACUAAAACAAUGAAAGUUUUCCUACAAAAGCUGCAGUUAUUAGAAAACAGGUUCCUACAGACUUAUUAUACAGUAUCUGAUCGAAGGAAAAACAACUGGAGGGUCAGAACAAAUGGAUGAAUGGAAACACAAACGGCUGAAUUCAAGCAAACAUGCUAUGGUGUUCAGGCACAAUAAUGGCCCUAAAGAGGCUAACCACAACUGUGGAUAACAAACAGAAACAUCAAAGAGAUUUUGCCAGUAGCAGAAUCAAUUAAAGAUGAUUCUGAAAUGUCCAUACAGAGUAAAAAUUAUCUGGGUUCAUUGUGGCACUUUAACUGGAGUCAUUAAACAACAUACGUGCCACUACUGUCACUAUAUUUUAGGAGGAAUAUUAUCACAGAAGAAAGCAAUUAACAUGACUCAGUUUUGCGGGUAUGCGCUGCAAGAAGUGAUUAUUCAGACUUGGCGUUUACAGCCCUGAAAAAUGGAGACCAGGAUAGAAAGUUGGAGGCGAGUCAGACCCUGAGACGAAAGGAACAGAUUGACGCCAAUAAGCAAUGUGAGACGGCACGUAAUUUAAAAUCAUUGCAAACUGAAAGAAACUGUCAAGAUUUUUAAGGUCCAAGAAUUAAUAACCUUGUAAAUUUAAUCUCUCUUUGCCCCUACAGCCCUUCUUCUCCCUUUAAAAUAUCCUUCAUUCCUUUGGCAUUACCAUAGAUACCUUUAUUAAAAAAAAAAAAAAAGAAAAAAAAAAACACAUAUUGGAAUAAUGAAAAGCGGAGAGUUGGCUACAGGUUGGGACGUGGACACCUGUAUAAAGCAUGAGUGACUAUGGAUCUAAUUUCCUGGCUCUGCUUUCUCGGUUCCUUCCCUAUUCAAAAGAUUAAGGCUUUUCACUUUGCUUUCCUGUGUACACAUAAGGAAGUUGUCCUGGUAUUACAUGAUACCUUUAAUCAGAGGAUUUUAGAAUGCUUAAGGAGCCAUUAAGCCAUAGCAUGCCUGUGAAGAAGGUACUAUCACGCCUCUUGCAAAAACAGGGAAACUGAGGCAAAGAGUUUAAAUGGCCUGUCAGGAUGUCACAGAAGGUUAGCUGCACAGCCAGGAAAAGUACUCACAGGUCUCAGUUUCCCUUCCACAAUAAAGUGUACUACCUGUUGCAUCUAAUUGCUCUAACUAGGUAUUUAGAGCAGUGGUGCUCAACCUUUGCGUCCCACAGGAUGAGUGACCUGGAGCUAGUCUGCAGGCCAGAUUGAGCCCCAUGCAACCAUCAAGCUCUAGGGUCCAGCACCACCCCUCCCUGUCUUGUUCUCCAGGAUUCAGCUCUGGGGGCCCAGCACCAACCUCUCCUGAAAUUGGGCCCCGAGGGCCUGGCACCAAUCCCUCCUUCCAGGAUUGGGCUCUGGAGGCCUAAUGCUGUCCCCACCCAACCCCAUGCACUGAGAUUGGGUUGUUGGGUCCAGCGCCACCUACAUGAGCGCCAAAUCCAGCUGCAGUUGCACCA